Long non-coding RNA from Oreochromis aureus, 372 nucleotides. RefSeq lists it as uncharacterized. NCBI's taxonomy places the organism in Eukaryota, Metazoa, Chordata, Actinopteri, Cichliformes, Cichlidae. The record is from RefSeq and is a predicted model, not a curated record. The transcript has 3 exons.
CUCUGUCUCUCUUUUUUCCAUUUCUCUCUCAACCACUUUCUUAGCGAGCACUAGUCUGACUCAUGACAAUUAAAAGAGAGGCCGAGAACACCGAGAAGAGAUCCAGCCGAGGACAUAGGAACUAGCACCAGUAAAAUACAACCACAGGGCAGCACAGCAAAGGAGCCAGGAGAGGACAGUGGUGUGCCACAGCCCGCGACAGCUACAGCUUUUAUCUGCGGUUACACUGAUCUGAGGAAUGAAGACACUGAAGGCCAGAAAGAGACUUUGCAAGUGAAUCAAUGCUUUAAAGAAAAGGCACUACCUGCUGGAGGAGCACUUGCAGGGACUGAAGCAAGCUAUCACACCAUCAGCUAUUCCCCACCAGCCUUU